GACGUAGGGCACAAGCGUUGUCCGGAUUUAUUGGGCGUAAAGAGCUCGUAGGCGGCUUGUCACGUCGGCCGUGAAAUUCUGCAGCUUAACUGUGGGAUUGCGGUCGAUACGGGCAGGCUAGAGUUCGGUAGGGGAGACUGGAAUUCCUGGUGUAGCGGUGAAAUGCGCAGAUAUCAGGAGGAACACCGGUGGCGAAGGCGGGUCUCUGGGCCGAUACUGACGCUGAGGAGCGAAAGCGUGGGGAGCGAAC
This 250-nucleotide ribosomal RNA is filed under the name uncultured prokaryote. RNAcentral's name for it is "partial 16S ribosomal RNA". It matches the Rfam family "Bacterial small subunit ribosomal RNA", at positions 524 to 773 of the family's 1533-position model. The record is from RNAcentral.